Molecule: non-coding RNA, 26 nt
Filed under: Mus musculus (house mouse)
Lineage: Eukaryota; Metazoa; Chordata; Mammalia; Rodentia; Muridae
Source: RNAcentral
UNGACAGCAGGACGGUGGCCAUGGAU